GGGAACACAGAGAUGAGGACAGAGGGGAUACAGUGAUGGGGACAGCAGGGGUAAAGUGAUGGGGACAAUGGGGAUACUGCAAUGGGGACAGCGGAAAUACAGCAAUGGGGACAAUGGGGAUACUGCGAUGGGGACAGUGGGGACACAGUGAUGGGGAUACUUUGAUGGGGACAAUGGGGACACAGUGAUGGGGACAGUGGGGAUACUGCAAUGGGGACAAUGGGGACACAGUGAUGGGGACAGUGGGGAUACUGCAAUGGGGACAGCGGGGAUACAGCAGUGGGGACAAUGGGGAUACUGCAAUGGACAGAGCAGGGGUACAGAGAUAAGGACAGCAGGGAUACAGAGAUAAGGACAGCAGGGAUACAGUGAUGUGGACAGUGAGGACACAGCGAUGGAGACAGUGAGGAUGCAGGGAUGGGGACAGAGGGACACAGUGAUGGGGAUGCAGUGAUGGGUACAGUGGGGACACAGUGAUGGGGACACAGCAAUGGGGACAGCAGGGAUACAGAGAUAAGGACAGCAGGGAUACAGUUGCGGGGACAAUGGGAAUACUGCGAUAGGAACAGCGAGGACACAGGGAUGGGGACAGAGGGACACAGCAGUGGGAACAGAGGGGAUACAGUGAUGGGGACUGUGGGAACACAGACAUGGGGACAGCAGGGACACAGUGCUGGGGCCGCCCGGUGCCCUCUCCCUGUUCCUCCCCCUGCUUUGUCUCUGGCCCCGUCUCCCAGCCAGGCAGACACAAAGAGCCUCUGACCCGGGAGGAGAAAUACGCCUUGCAGAGAAAAUCCUCCCCAGCGCCCCGAGCAGAGUGCGGAUGGAAGCGUGGCACCCCGGCUGCUCCCCGUAUCGCUCAGUGCCUCCAAGUGCCACUCAGUGACAUCUCCUCCACACACACCAGGGAAGUGGCGUUUUCCCACAUCCAGGAGAUGUGCCUGAGCUCUUCCUCUGUCUCCACGUCAAAAUAAAGAGGUCCCAAUGGGACGAAUCCCCAGAAGCACAUCCUGAGGCUUCUGGGUCAUGCAGGAGCAAAAAGUCGGAUCUGGGACUUUUUUUCCUUCUCGCUGCUAUCCGUUCCCUCGAGCACUCAUAAAUCCUGGCUGUACCAAUGGGGGCUCAGGGGGGGUAGGCAGGCUGCAGGCCCGCAGUGCCCCACAAAUCCUCCUCCUACGUCUGUGUCCAAGCAUCAACAAGCAGAGCAUCACCUCACCAUCCCCUGCUGCUCUGCCGCCCUCCCAUGCGGACAGGCAUGGCAACAAGGCCACCUCUCCGCUCUCUGCCCCAUCGGCCUCCCCAGAGAUCUGAAUUCUGCUUAAGCCCUGAUUUCAGCCACAGGUGAGCGCAGCACUGAGGACGCAGCACGGUCCACCCAGAGCAUCCCUCCCUGAGCAUGGUGCAGAAGAAACCCCUCUGAGAGCGCUGCACUGGGGAUGCGUUGGGCAGCUCGUUAGCUGCUGGGGUUAACGAGCUGCUCGGUGGGUUCCCUGCAGCCUGGGCUGGGCACGGGGUGAGCUGCGGGUGCAUCAGGUCGGGAGCGGCUGCACCUCUCUCAGCAUCUGCUCAGCUCUGACACGGUGCUCACUUGGGCUUUUUUUUUUUUUAAUUGUCUUGAUGUCCCUCAUUUGCAUAAUCCCCACAAUGCAGCGCAGCAGGCCUUUUGCUCUGAGCUAAUAAAUAGAUGACAAAAAUAAAUGUGUCAUGUAAGAUUUGCUUCCAUUUCUUUCCCCCUUUGUGAGUGAGCUAUCACCAAGAAAUGAUGCUGGCGGAGCUGAUCUCCCAGGAGCUGUCAGCCUGGACUCAAAGCUUGCUUUGCCCAUGGAACACAACUUGGCCAGAUGUUAGAGUGAGAUGUGCAAGCUGAGAGCUGCAGCGGGAGGAGAUGUCCGCACUCCUCAGCCCCUCUGCAUUGCUCCCUAUAGAGAUGGCCCUGCAAAAUCAGCCCCAGGGCAGCGGGCAAAGGGCAUUCAGACAUCCAUUGCUGUGGGUUGCAGCGUGUCCACGUCCAGGCAGGUGCUGGCAGUGCUCUAUUUUCUGUGAUUUUCUUCAAAAUCAGCUGUCGGUGCUUGCAGUGGAGAUGGCACCAUUUAGGAAAUGAGCUCCCUGAGCCAAGAAGAAGAGUGAUUGCUCAGCUGUGAGCAUCCAAGGGGACACCUGAGGCUGGAACAGCACCACGUGUUUCCUACAGGAUGAUUCCUCCUGCAAGGCUGUAUUUCUCACUUCGAGGAACUUGGCUGGACGGCGCCCAGGGAAGCAAGGGGAACAAAGACAAAGUCCUAAAGGAGAGCCUGCAAUCCAUCCCCAGGGCUCUGCAUGGCUGCAUGUCCUCGGGGCUGAGAUCAGGGAUGAACCACCUUACCCUUCUCCAUGCCGUGCAGGAUGUGGAUGUGAGCAGAGAGCAGCAGGACGCAUUGGGUUCCACAAGGUUUAGGAGCUGGUUACUUUGCGCCGGGUGCUGGCAGCUCUGGAGAUCAUCACUUGGGCCAUCUUUUCUCCUCCCCACAGCCCUGUGAGUCAGGAGGAUUCUCAGAUCUUAUGUAAAAGCAUUUCCAACUGUGUUGUUUGUGCCUGAAAACGCGAAUCCUAACAGGUAGGAGCUAGAAGAGAAAUAAAGACCUGAUAAUAUACGAGCUUCCUUUAUUUUUUUUCUUUUCUUUUAGAGCCCUGGCCUGCUUUAAAUCAC
RNAcentral lists this long non-coding RNA (2686 nucleotides) under Gallus gallus (chicken). Its description in RNAcentral is "lncRNA (ENSGALG00010027839.1)". Lineage: Eukaryota; Metazoa; Chordata; Aves; Galliformes; Phasianidae. The record is from RNAcentral.